AAUCUCUUGUUCUCAUUUUCUCGUGUCCUCGCGCUCUUCCUUCUACUGUAUUUUUGUCUUAAAUUCUUUAAUGGCGAGAGAGAGAAAAAAAAACAAAACCAGCUCAGAGCUAUAGUCUUCUUCCACAAAUACGUGUGUGCUUUUCAGAACCUUUCUCCGUCCCUUUCUCCUGCUAACACAUGUGGGGUCUGCAGUGCAAAGGACUCUCCUUUCGUCCAGUGACCAAAUGGCAGUCUCUCAGUUUGCCAAUUUCAUUCAUCACGCCCGCACCGACUGAAGCCUACUCCUCACCAGUUCAGCUGUCUUCCAGUUAAUUGUAUUAACUGCUAAGCACCUCCUCCACCUUUUCGGGUUCUAUUACCGCCCUCAUUAAAAAAAAAAAAAAAAAAAAAAAAAAAAAGAAGGAAAGAAAAGAAAAGAAAAAAGAAAAUCCAACACGAACACUCAAGAUAGCGUGAAUUCAAAAAAGAAAGUGUGCGUGUGCAACACAGUCUGAGUGUGUGCAUCCGUAUGCGUCGCCUGCCUCAGCCUGCCCGGGUCCUGAACAUGUAGCUGAGAGGUGCAGGACAGUCAGAGGGCCAAAACUUCCCCUGCCAGGCUGAGGCUGGGCCCUCCCGAGCUCACCUGUCCGCGUUCAGGUAACUGGCUAAGUGCCCGCCCGGCCGCGUUCCAGGACACCUGGCCGGGACAGAGCGAAUGCCAGUGAAUCCCAGGGCGCCCUCUCCCGCGCGUUGGUUCUCUAGCCCUCCUUCCCUGGGAGGGGUGGGAUUGGGAGUGUUCUGUUUUCAUUACUGCACCCCUUCCCCUAAAGACAACGGGACUGCCCUCCUCCACAGCGCCUUACCUCAAACAGGGGACCGAUCUUGUUCUUCUCCAGUUAAACAGCUUUAUAAGACAUGAUGAAAGCAGCCAUCCCCUAGUUCCUUCUUCACCCUGAUCUGUGAUCUCCAGAGGAAAUGAUGUUCAACUCAUUUUUUUCUGGUUGGACACCUAAUUUGCACAUCAGGACUGCCAUGGACCAUGGUGCAAUGAAGGUGAAGACUGGAGCACUCAUCACCCACGGGUCUCACUUUGUUGCCCAGGCUGGAGUAUAGUGCCCUGAUCACAGCUUGCUGCAACCUCAAGCUCCCAUGCUCAAGCAAGCUUCCUGCCUCAACUUCCCAAGUAGCUGAGACCACAGGCAUGCUCCAUGACACCUGAACUCCUGAACUCAAGCGAUCCUCCUGCCUCAGCCUUCCAAAGUGCUGGGAUUACAGGCAUGAGCCCCUGAACCCUGCCUACCCUCUGUUUCUAUGUGGUGUUUGUCUUUCUAAGCCUGGCCUAUUUCGUGUAACAUAAUUUCCUCCAGAUUUAUCCAUAUUGUCUCAAAUGACCAGAUUUCUUUCUUUUUUAAGGCUGAAUAGUAUUCCAUUGUACAUAUAUACUACAUUUUAUUUAUCCAUUCAUCUGUUGAUGGACACUUAGGUUGAUUCCAUAUCUUGGCUAUUGUGAAUAAGCUGCAAUGAACAUAGGAGUGCAGAUACUGCUUUGACAUAUUCAUUUCAUUUUCUUUGGAUAUGUAUCCAGAAGUGGAAUUGGGCUGGAAUAUAGGCAGUUCUAUUUUUAAUAUUUUGAGGAAACUCCAUAUUACUUUCCAUAAUAGCUGUGCUAAUUUACAUUCCCACCGCCAAUGUAUAAGGGCUUCCUUUUCUCCACAUCCUCUCCAACACUGGUUAUCUCUUGUCUUUUUGAUAUGUUUUCUCUUCUCUGUAAAGCUAUUGGUUGUAGCAUUUUACUUUUUCCAAAUUUUUUUAAUCAAACUUUUGAAAUGUAUAGCUGAAAUGAAAGAAUUUUAGCAUGAAUGCUAAUAUACACUCAGCACCUAUAUUCUUGCUUUUUCAUGUAUUUACUCCUGAAUUAAUAUAUUACUUGUUAUAUGCUUUUGAAAGUAAACUGCAAACAAGUGCAUGCUUCUCCUAGAUCUUUCCACAUGCUCUGCCAUUAAUUAGAGUUCAAUGUUCAAUUUUUUCCUUUUGAUGUACAAUUAAUACACAAUUAAUUUACACACACAUUUUACUUAGUUCUGAAAAAUGUAUAUACUUUUAUAACUCAAAGCCCAUCAUUAUACAACAUUACUAUCACCCUAGCAAAAUCUUUUGUGUCCCUUCUCAAUCACCAAUCCUGACCACACCCCAAGAAAACUACUGUUCAAAUUUUUCUCCAUCAUUGAUUGGCUUUGUCUGUUUUAGAACUUCAUAAAACUAAAAUACUGUAGUAAAUUAUGUACAAUUUUAUGACUAGCUUCCUUUGCUCAAUAUAAUGUUUUCGAGAUUUAUUCAUAUUGCUGCAUGUCAGUAGUUGGUUCUUUUUAUUGCUGCAUAUUUCAUUGAAUAAAAAUGCCAAAGCUUGUUUAUUCAUUCUUGUCUCACAUCAAAGUAUCUGGGGGAUGUUUUCCACUUUUGGCUAUUAGAAAUGAAACAGAUUUGAAUAUUGUCGUACAGGCUUUUUAUGCAUAUAUAUGCCUUCUUUGAGUAAAUACCCAGAAAUUAUGUUACUGGAUCAUAGGUUAAUAUAUGUUUAGUUUUAGAAGAAAAUGCUACCUCUUUUUUCCAAAAUAUUGUCCCAUUUUACACUCCCAGCAGUAAUGUAUGAGAUUUCCAGUUGCUGCACAUCCUUACCAAAAAUUAGCUUUUCUAAUUUUAGUCAUUGUAAGGGGUGUGUAGUGGUGGCUCUAUGUAGUUCUAAUUUGCAUUUCUCUAAUGACUAACGAUGUUAAACAUAUUUUUAUGUACUUGUUUCAUGUACUUGUUGAUAUGUCUAUUCAAUUCCUUUCACCAUUUUUAUGGAGCUGUUUUUUUAUUAUUGAGUUGUAGGAUUUCUUUAUAUAUGCUGCAUACCAGGCCUUUGUUAUAUACAUGCUUUGCAAUGUACAUUGUCUUAAAAUCUGUGGCUUGCCUGUUCAAUUCAUUAGUGGUGUUUUGUUAAGCAGUUUUUAAUUUUGAUGAAGUGUAACUUAUUCAUUUUUUAUUAUGGUUAUUGCUUUAUGUUUCAGGUCCCAAAUUUUGCCUUCUCACAAAUCACAAACAUUAUCCUAUGUUUUCCUUCAAAAAUUAUAUGGUUUUAUGUAUUUUCAAUCUCAAAAUAUUCUCUAAUUUUUUUGCUGAUUUAUUUACUAAAGAAAUUUGAGGGAUUUGCUAUAAUGUUAGGGAUUUUUCUAGAUGCCACAUUGUUAUUGAUUUCUAAUUUAAUUAUAUUAUGCUCAGAAAACAUAUUCUGUAUGCUUUCAACACUUUUAAAUUUAUUGAGACUUGUUGGAGGGUCCAGCAUAUAAUCUAUCUCAGUGAACACACUGUAUUUACUUGAAAAGAUGUAUAUUCUGCAGUUAUUCAGUGUAGUGUUCUAUAAAAUCAUUUAGGUCAAGGUGGUUGAUAGUUUGUUCAAAUCCAUCUACGUCUUCAUUAAUUUUAUUUAUCUGGCUCUAUCAAUUGCUAAAAGAAUGUUGUUAAAAAUUGUCAACUAUGAUUUUAGAAUCAUUUAUUUCUCCCUUUGAUUAAUGAAUGUUGUUUCAUGAAUUUUGAAGCUAUUCAGAGACAAAAAAAAACUAUUUAUGAAUAUUGUCUUCCUAAAUGAACUGAUGAUUCUUUUG
Molecule: long non-coding RNA, 3625 nt
Filed under: Homo sapiens (human)
Lineage: Eukaryota; Metazoa; Chordata; Mammalia; Primates; Hominidae
Description: HSALNT0347547
Source: RNAcentral